CUGUCUCUAAGUUUAAAAAUUAUUUGUCUACACAAGAGCAAGCUGAUUGCAGGGAAGAUCAUCCCAGCCAUUGCCACAACCACAGCAGCUGUGGUUGGCUUUGUGUGUCUGGAGCUGUACAAGGUAGUGCAGGGGCACCGACAGCUUGAUUCUUACAAGAAUGGCUUCCUCAACUUGGCCCUGCCCUUCUUUGGUUUCUCUGAACCCCUUGCUGCACCACGUCACCAGUACUAUAACCAGGAGUGGACAUUGUGGGAUCGCUUUGAGGUACAGGGACUGCAGCCUAACGGUGAGGAGAUGACCCUCAAACAGUUCCUUGACUACUUUAAGACAGAGCACAAAUUAGAGAUCACCAUGCUGUCCCAGGGCGUAUCCAUGCUCUAUUCUUUCUUCAUGCCAGCCGCCAAGCUCAAAGAACGGUUGGAUCAGCGGAUGACAGAGAUUGUAAGCCGUGUGUCGAAGCGAAAGCUGGGCCACCAUGUGCGGGCGCUGGUGCUUGAGCUGUGCUGCAACGACAAGAGCGGCGAGGACGUCGAGGUCCCCUAUGUACUACGAUACACCAUCCGCUGACCCCCAUCUGCUCCUCUAGGCUGGCCCCAGUCCACCCUUCUCCAGACCCCUUCCAGCCCAGGGCUCCUGUUUGGUUUCUGGCAAUGGCCCACCUAGCCAAGCCUGGUGUUCCCUUGUCAUCCCCCUACCUGAACCCCUCCUGCCACUGCUUUCUACCUUGUUUGGAAUCCGAAUCCUAAUAAAGAAUUAUUAACCCUGAAAAAAAAA
This is a non-coding RNA of Microcebus murinus (gray mouse lemur), 777 nucleotides long. Lineage: Eukaryota; Metazoa; Chordata; Mammalia; Primates; Cheirogaleidae. The record is from RefSeq and is a predicted model, not a curated record.